AUCGCUCCUCGGCCUUUUGGCUAAGACUGAGUGUCAUAUCUGUUUUUUAUCAGUUUAAUAUCUGAUCCGAGGACAAUAUAUGAAAUGGAUUUUUGGAACAGGGAGGUGAAAUAGGGGCUUGCUCUGUCCACUCCGCGCAUCGACCUGGUAUUACAGUAUCUCCAGGAAUGGUGCACCAAAA
RNAcentral lists this small nuclear RNA (181 nucleotides) under Dasypus novemcinctus (nine-banded armadillo). RNAcentral's name for it is "U2 spliceosomal RNA (ENSDNOG00000026853.1)". It matches the Rfam family "U2 spliceosomal RNA". From Rfam's summary of the family: U2 is a small nuclear RNA (snRNA) component of the spliceosome (involved in pre-mRNA splicing). Complementary binding between U2 snRNA (in an area lying towards the 5' end but 3' to hairpin I) and the branchpoint sequence (BPS) of the intron results the bulging out of an unpaired adenosine, on the BPS, which initiates a nucleophilic attack at the intronic 5' splice site, thus starting the first of two transesterification reactions that mediate splicing. Lineage: Eukaryota; Metazoa; Chordata; Mammalia; Cingulata; Dasypodidae. The record is from RNAcentral.